UACGAAGGGGGCUAGCGUUGCUCGGAAUCACUGGGCGUAAAGCGCACGUAGGCGGAUUGUUAAGUCAGGGGUGAAAUCCUGGAGCUCAACUCCAGAACUGCCUUUGAUACUGGCGAUCUCGAGUCCGGGAGAGGUGAGUGGAACUGCGAGUGUAGAGGUGAAAUUCGUAGAUAUUCGCAAGAACACCGGUGGCGAAGGCGGCAUCCUGGACCGGCAUUGACGCUGAGGAGCGAAAGCCAGGGGAGCAAACGGG
RNAcentral lists this ribosomal RNA (253 nucleotides) under uncultured bacterium. Its description in RNAcentral is "partial 16S ribosomal RNA". It matches the Rfam family "Bacterial small subunit ribosomal RNA", at positions 524 to 776 of the family's 1533-position model. The record is from RNAcentral.